Molecule: ribosomal RNA, 490 nt
Filed under: uncultured bacterium
Lineage: Bacteria
Description: bacterial SSU rRNA
Rfam family: Bacterial small subunit ribosomal RNA
Source: RNAcentral
CAGGCCUAACACAUGCAAGUCGGACGGUAGCACAGAGAGCUUGCUCUCGGGUGACGAGUGGCGGACGGGUGAGUAAUGUCUGGGGAUCUGCCCGAUAGAGGGGGAUAACCACUGGAAACGGUGGCUAAUACCGCAUAACGUCGCAAGACCAAAGAGGGGGACCUUCGGGCCUCUCACUAUCGGAUGAACCCAGAUGGGAUUAGCUAGUAGGCGGGGUAAUGGCCCACCUAGGCGACGAUCCCUAGCUGGUCUGAGAGGAUGACCAGCCACACUGGAACUGAGACACGGUCCAGACUCCUACGGGAGGCAGCAGUGGGGAAUAUUGCACAAUGGGCGCAAGCCUGAUGCAGCCAUGCCGCGUGUAUGAAGAAGGCCUUCGGGUUGUAAAGUACUUUCAGCGGGGAGGAAGGCGGUGCGGUUAAUAACCGCGCCGAUUGACGUUACCCGCAGAAGAAGCACCGGCUAACUCCGUGCCAGCAGCCGCGGUAAU